AAUCAAUCAAACCAACAAGCCCUGAAAAAGGUCCUUCUAUCUUCCAGGCUCUGAGGGAGGUUUGCACCGUGCAAUGAUGAAAAGCCUUUCAAUUGGCGGCUGAGCCAGAGCUCUGUGUAUGCACUAAAAGGGGUGACCUGACCACAGUGCUCCUCUUCCUUUUCAGCUCUGAAAUGUGAGGAUUAUUCCAGUUGUGUCUGGGAGAAUUGGGUGAGAGAAGAAGAGAAGCAUUAUCCUCUACUUGGCCACUUCUAGCUGUGAGCACAUCUACGAAAGCCUGUGCCUGAGACGGGGCACCUCUCUUUCCCAUUUCCUUUCCCAACUAGCUGACUAGAGCAGCAACCUUGAGAUAAAACAGUCUAUGACGUUUGUGAGUCUCAGAAGAUCAUGUGAUUCUGGGAAGCCAGAGGAAUAGUGACUGUAGUUGAUUGUGGGUAUAGUAGCAGCAAGAGGAGCUUACUGGCAACAAAGAAAUGAAGAAAGAAAAGAAGAUCACGCUUGGAUUAGACUUAGCAUCUAAUCAGACUGUGCUUAAUAGAGGAAAUAACGACCUCCUGGGAUGAAUCUUGGCAGCUAACCAAAGAAGAAAAGAAAUUGAGGGCUAAUGGUAUUUCUGCUUGGAGGUUGCUCCAGACUGACUUUUAAAAGCUUGUCUGCUGGAUACUUUCACUGGGAUAUUCCACCAAAGAGUAAGACUCAACAAGUCUGAAAUCAAGGGUGUGCUGCUUCCUGCUUCUGGACUUGUUCCUUUCUCCCUGGAGACAAGUGGUGGUGGUAGCAUUUAAAAGACAUUUUGUCCGAAAAAAUACAAUCAUGGCUUGCCUAGAGCAGAAAUUACGUGUGCUCCUGCUUUUCUUUGUAAAUAAUUGAAUUUGUCUCUUAAGUUCAAGCAGUUCAAGAUUCCUUUUUACGUGUGGAGCUGACGGGUUCUGUUUUCUUCACAUAUGCACCAGACUGUAAUCUAAGGCAGAAGAAAUAGUGUGCGAUUGAAAUUUUGGUGAACAGGAAGAAUGAUAGAGGAGAUUGACAUGUCUUCCUUAGAAAA
This 1045-nucleotide long non-coding RNA is filed under the name Phascolarctos cinereus (koala). RNAcentral describes it as "lncRNA (ENSPCIG00000017798.2)". Lineage: Eukaryota; Metazoa; Chordata; Mammalia; Diprotodontia; Phascolarctidae. The record is from RNAcentral.